AGCAGUGGACAGGAUGCUGCAGCUUUGUGGAUAUGCCAGCUAAAACCCUUCUAAAUACCAAGCUCUGUGUUUCACAGCAAGAUUGUUUAUUGAACCAGUUCGUGGAAGCUCCAAAGACUCCUCUGCUGAAACACCGCCAGCUCCAAGCUCUGAUUUUGACAUUGAUAUUGUCAGAUGAGAUUAAGCACUGGUCGUAAUGAAUGCUGGCAGACUUCUGUUGAGCCUGGAAGAACCAGAAUCCUAGGAGCAUGGAAGACUUAAUUCAUUCAACAGUAACCACCUCUUUUUAGCCUAAGACUUUGGCAGCCGAACAACAGAACAGGAAUUAUGUCAGCUUUUCUGCUUAGCAUGAGCUCUGCCCCAGAACCAAUGACAUAAAAUACGUAUGUUUGCUUUCCCUGCCACAAAGUUGCGACACAUUAUCAAAGCUUUACAAAGUCACUCUAUCUUAGGACACCCCUAGACAACUUGUUUCCAUCUUACUUCUGGGACAAAAAUAUUUACUGUAUCCUGCUUUCAUUGUCUUUGUGAAUAUUACAUUAAAUGUUGACAUGUGCUUGGCAAUUCAAAUUCAUUGGUUAAAUGUUUUUCUCCUCUCAAAAUUAUUUUUAAUAUAAUAGUCUAAUAAAUAUGAAUCCAAGAUUCCUUACUAAACAUGUGACUUUGCCUUGUCCAACCUCAGUAUUUUGUUCUAUAAAACGCAAGUAACUAGGCAACUCCCAUUUUAGGUUGUAAAAAUUGCAAAAAUUACAAAAAUGUGUUCAGUGCAGUCCAUGGCAAAAAAAAAAGAACUUCUAAAUGUCACAUAUUAUUAUUAAAAUCAGGUUCAAUUACAAUAACUGCACAAUACAAAAAUACAAAGUCAGUAUUGCACUUAGACUCUGGAGACACUUUAAAAGACAUAUGAAGUCUUCUCAUUCUAACUCUUUCAUUUUGUAUUCAAUUUAACCUUCAUUAAAAUUGAGCUAUAAUGUAGGAAGAGAUGAAUUUCUCAAAAAAGCAAAAAUGAUGAAGAUGUACAUGUAGGAAUUCACAAUAUAGAAAGGAAAGCAGAAACAUACAUAGAUUUGAUCAGGCACUAAACACUUACUGAAUGCCAGCUUUGUACUAGAAAGCACUAGGUACUAGAGUCAAAAAGAUGAUUAAACUCUAUAUCCUCUAAGGGAAGCAGUUGUCCAAUAAACAAAUAAGAGCCCUAUAUUAAUACGAUAGAUAUUAUGUUCAAGGUAACAUGAGAAGACUUUAAAAGGAAUAAUGAGCUUUAUUAAGAGGAGCUGGACUCUCCCUCCUCUCCCUCUCCCCCUCCCCCUCUCCCUCCUCUCCCUCUGCCUCUCCCUCCACGGUCUCCCUCUCAUGCGGAGCCGAAGCUGGA
Molecule: long non-coding RNA, 1372 nt
Filed under: Homo sapiens (human)
Lineage: Eukaryota; Metazoa; Chordata; Mammalia; Primates; Hominidae
Description: HSALNT0231958
Source: RNAcentral